AAUCUUUAUAUGUAUACAACUCCUAAAACUAUUAUUUAAAACGCAGUAUGUACACACAUAACCAAACUUUCCGUUUUAACCAGCCAAAGCCCCAAGAUGUAAUACAUUUCUAUUGUAUUUUCGUCCAUUAAGUAUAAAUUAAUAAAAUCGUGUCAUUAUCGUUUCAUUUUGGAAUAGGCACUUCUGCUACUCCGCAAAAGACUAGUUCUUGAUGAAUUAGAUGGUUUAUCAUAUACGUCCGGCUCAUUAGUUUGAUUAGACGAUGUGUAGGUUUCCCUAACGAAUUUCUUAUCCGAAUCUAAAUUUAAAUUCGUAGUUUCCUUAAUUAAAGACGAAUCUCGUGUCCAAGAUGGAGUGGCAGGAAGUUCUCGUUUGGAAGGUGUAUCGCCAGUUGUUUCCAGCUUCACCAAAGACGUGUCUUCUAUAGUAGUUUCAAGGUUACAUAGAGAUUCAUCUCCUAAACCAAGUAAUUCAUUAGUAUGAUUAGCAAGUGAUGUCGUUCCCUUUAAAACAUGAUCUGUAAUUUUCUGUAAUU
This is a non-coding RNA of Schizosaccharomyces pombe (fission yeast), 535 nucleotides long. The record is from the annotation of a GenBank genome assembly. NCBI's taxonomy places the organism in Eukaryota, Fungi, Ascomycota, Schizosaccharomycetes, Schizosaccharomycetales, Schizosaccharomycetaceae.